GACGAACGCUGGCGGCGUGCUUAACACAUGCAAGUCGAACGGAAAGGCCCUGCUUUUGUGGGGUGCUCGAGUGGCGAACGGGUGAGUAACACGUAAGUAACCUGCCCUUGACUUUGGGAUAACUUCAGGAAACUGGGGCUAAUACCGGAUAGGAGUUCCUGCUUCAUGGUGGGGGUUGGAAAGUUUCGGCGGUUGGGGUUGGACUCGCGGCUUAUGAGCUUGUUGGUGGGGUAGUGGCUUACCAAGGCUUUGAAGGGUAGCCGUCCUGCGAGGGUGACCGGCCACGCUGGGACGGAGAUAGGGCCCAGACUCCACCGGGAGGCAGCGGUGGGGAAGAGUGCACAAUGGGAGGAGCCCUAAUGCAGCAACGCCGCGUGGGGGAAGACGACAAUCGGGUUGGAUACCGCAUCUGUUUGUGACGGGGCGUGAGUGACGGUAAUGGGUAAAGAAGCACCGGCUAACUACGUG
This 468-nucleotide ribosomal RNA is filed under the name uncultured bacterium. RNAcentral describes it as "partial 16S ribosomal RNA". It matches the Rfam family "Bacterial small subunit ribosomal RNA", at positions 28 to 507 of the family's 1533-position model. The record is from RNAcentral.